AAAUAGCCCAGAUAGUAGCGAUAUCCUUUUUUACAAAAAAAAGAUAAAGCGAAUAGCUGGAAAAGCU
Molecule: small RNA, 67 nt
Filed under: Flavobacterium haoranii
Lineage: Bacteria; Pseudomonadati; Bacteroidota; Flavobacteriia; Flavobacteriales; Flavobacteriaceae
Description: Flavobacterium sp. LQY-7 Flavo-1 RNA
Rfam family: Flavo-1 RNA
Source: Rfam by way of RNAcentral